RNAcentral lists this transfer RNA (58 nucleotides) under Dipodomys ordii (Ord's kangaroo rat). It matches the Rfam family "tRNA", at positions 8 to 63 of the family's 71-position model. Rfam says of the family: Transfer RNA (tRNA) molecules are approximately 80 nucleotides in length. Their secondary structure includes four short double-helical elements and three loops (D, anti-codon, and T loops). The record is from Rfam by way of RNAcentral. Lineage: Eukaryota; Metazoa; Chordata; Mammalia; Rodentia; Heteromyidae.
UGGCUCAGUGGUAGAGCACUUGCCUUGCAUGCAUGAGUCCCUGGGUUCAAUUCCUCAG